UACGUAGGGUGCAAGCGUUGUCCGGAAUUAUUGGGCGUAAAGAGCUCGUAGGCGGUCUGUCGCGUCUGGUGUGAAAACUCAAGGCUUAACCUUGGGCCUGCAUCGGGUACGGGCAGACUAGAGUGCGGUAGGGGAGACUGGAAUUCCUGGUGUAGCGGUGAAAUGCGCAGAUAUCAGGAAGAACACCUAUGGCGAAGGCAGCUCUCUGGGACGGUACUGACGCUGAGACGCGAAAGCGUGGGGAGCGAACAGG
RNAcentral lists this ribosomal RNA (253 nucleotides) under uncultured bacterium. RNAcentral's name for it is "partial 16S ribosomal RNA". It matches the Rfam family "Bacterial small subunit ribosomal RNA", at positions 524 to 776 of the family's 1533-position model. The record is from RNAcentral.